GAUUAUGGCUCAGGAUGAACGCUAGCGGCAGGCUUAACACAUGCAAGUCGAGGGGCAUCGGGAGUAGCAAUACUUGCCGGCGACCGGCGCAAGGGUGCGUAACGCGUGAGCAACAUGCCCGUAUCAGGGGGGAUAAUCCAUGGAAACGUGGUCUAAUACCCCAUAGUAAUUAUGUAAGGCAUCUUAUAUAAUUUAAAGCUUUGGUGGAUACGGAUUGGCUCGCGUGACAUUAGCUGGAUGGUAAGGUAACGGCUUACCAUGGCUACGAUGUCUAGGGGUUCUGAGAGGAAGGUCCCCCACACUGGAACUGAGACACGGUCCAGACUCCUACGGGAGGCAGCAGUGAGGAAUAUUGGACAAUGGAUGGAAAUCUGAUCCAGCCAUGCCGCGUGCAGGAAGACGGCCCUAUGGGUUGUAAACUGCUUUUGUAUGGGAGCAAUAAGGGCUACGUGUAGUCCGAUGAGAGUACCAUACGAAUAAGCACCGGCUAACUCCGUGCCAGCCGCAGC
This 509-nucleotide ribosomal RNA is filed under the name uncultured bacterium. RNAcentral describes it as "bacterial SSU rRNA". It matches the Rfam family "Bacterial small subunit ribosomal RNA", at positions 15 to 518 of the family's 1533-position model. The record is from RNAcentral.